This 345-nucleotide ribosomal RNA is filed under the name Scolecomorphus uluguruensis. Its description in RNAcentral is "partial 12S ribosomal RNA". It matches the Rfam family "Bacterial small subunit ribosomal RNA", at positions 869 to 1384 of the family's 1533-position model. The record is from RNAcentral. Lineage: Eukaryota; Metazoa; Chordata; Amphibia; Gymnophiona; Scolecomorphidae.
CCGCCAGAGUAUUACGAGCACAGCUUAAAACUCAAAGGACUUGGCGGUGCCCUACCCAACCAGAGGAGCCUGUUCUAUAAUCGAUAAUCCACGCUAAACCUCACCACUUUUUGCAACCUCAGUUUAUAUACCACCGUCAUCAAUUAACCUUGUGAAAGAAACCUAGUUGAUAAAAUCAGUUUAACUAAACACGUCAGGUCAAGGUGUAACACAUAAAGUGGAAAGAAAUGGGCUACAUUUUCUUAAAAAGAAUAUACGGAUAAAUGUUAUUAAAAUACAUUUGAAGGCGGAUUUGGUAGUAAAAAGAAAUAAGCAUAUUCUUUUUAAUUUGGCUAUAAGGCGCGC